GACGGAGGAUGCAAGUGUUAUCCGGAAUUACUGGGCGUAAAGCGCACGUAGGCGGAUAUUUAAGUCAGGGGUGAAAUCCCGGGGCUCAACCCCGGAACUGCCUUUGAUACUGGGUAUCUCGAGUCCGAGAGAGGUGAGUGGAAUUCCGAGUGUAGAGGUGAAAUUCGUAGAUAUUCGGAGGAACACCAGUGGCGAAGGCGGCUCACUGGCUCGGUACUGACGCUGAGGUGCGAAAGCGUGGGGAGCAAACAGG
Molecule: ribosomal RNA, 253 nt
Filed under: uncultured bacterium
Lineage: Bacteria
Description: partial 16S ribosomal RNA
Rfam family: Bacterial small subunit ribosomal RNA
Source: RNAcentral